CACAGGUGCUGCAUGGCUGUCGUCAGCUCGUGUCGUGAGAUGUGGUUAAGUCCCGCAACGAGCGCAACCCUUAUCAUUAGUUGCUACGCAAAGGGCACUCUAAUGAGACUGCCGGUGACAAACCGGAGGAAGGUGGGGAUGACGUCAAGUCCUCAUGGCCCUUAUGCGUAGGGCUUCACACGUCAUACAAUGGUCGGUACAGAGGGUUGCCAACCCGCGAGGGGGAGCCAAUCCCACAAAGCCGAUCGUAGUCCGGAUUGCAGUCUGCAACUCGACUGCAUGAAGUCGGAAUCGCUAGUAAUCGCGGAUCAGCAUGUCGCGGUGAAUACGUUCCCGGGUCUU
This 342-nucleotide ribosomal RNA is filed under the name uncultured Derxia sp. RNAcentral describes it as "bacterial SSU rRNA". It matches the Rfam family "Bacterial small subunit ribosomal RNA", at positions 1033 to 1382 of the family's 1533-position model. The record is from RNAcentral. Lineage: Bacteria; Pseudomonadati; Pseudomonadota; Betaproteobacteria; Burkholderiales; Alcaligenaceae.